GCCUCCGUAGCGCAGUUGGCCAGCGCGUUCGGCUGUUAACCAAAAGGAUGGUGGUCCGAGCCGACCUGGGGGCG
Caerostris extrusa is the source of this 74-nucleotide non-coding RNA. The record is from the annotation of a GenBank genome assembly. NCBI's taxonomy places the organism in Eukaryota, Metazoa, Arthropoda, Arachnida, Araneae, Araneidae.